This 319-nucleotide long non-coding RNA is filed under the name Homo sapiens (human). Its description in RNAcentral is "non-protein coding lnc-RFXAP-3:1". The record is from RNAcentral. Lineage: Eukaryota; Metazoa; Chordata; Mammalia; Primates; Hominidae.
CCCACCCCCUCGACACUGCUGCAGUGGGGAUGAAGUUUCCAGCACGUACCUUUGGAGGACUUAUUCAACCAUGACCCUUGCUUCUCAUUCAUGGAGGAAGAGGAGUGAAGAAUCCAAGUGGCAGACUUGGGAGCUCUAGCCCAUCCUUUUCCCGUCCUCUUAUUUUUGGGGGUCGGCCUGCCUGCUUAGCACUAAAUCACAUCACUAUGGGCACCACUGAGGGUGGUAUUUGAGUCACCAACACAACACUCCUGUAUCCAUCUGCAUUUGUCGAUGAGGCAUUCAUGGUGACUCCAACGAACUCAUCUAGAGUAAGCGA